This 677-nucleotide ribosomal RNA is filed under the name uncultured bacterium. RNAcentral describes it as "bacterial SSU rRNA". It matches the Rfam family "Bacterial small subunit ribosomal RNA", at positions 96 to 808 of the family's 1533-position model. The record is from RNAcentral.
UGGCAGACGGGUGAGUAACGCGUGGGAACGUACCUUUCACUACGGAAUAGCUCCGGGAAACUGGUGGUAAUACCGUAUACGCCCUCAGGGGGAAAGAUUUAUCGGUGAAAGAUCGGCCCGCGUUGGAUUAGCUAGUUGGUGAGGUAAUGGCUCACAAAGGCGACGAUCCAUAGCUGGUCUGAGAGGAUGAUCAGCCACAUUGGGACUGAGACACGGCCCAAACUCCUACGGGAGGCAGCAGUGGGGAAUCUUGCACAAUGGGCGAAAGCCUGAUGCAGCCAUGCCGCGUGAAUGAUGAAGGCCUUAGGGUUGUAAAAUUCUUUCGUCAGGGAUGAUAAUGACCGUACCUGAAGAAGAAGCCCCGGCUAACUUCGUGCCAGCAGCCGCGGUAAUACGAAGGGGGCUAGCGUUGUUCGGAAUUACUGGGCGUAAAGCGCACGUAGGCGGAUUUUUAAGUCAGGUGUGAAAUCCCGGGGCUCAACCUCGGAACUGCAUUUGAAACUGGAAGUCUUGAGACCAGGAGAGGUUAGCGGAAUACCGAGUGUAGAGGUGAAAUUCGUAGAUAUUCGGUGGAACACCAGUGGCGAAGGCGGCUAACUGGACUGGUACUGACGCUGAGGUGCGAAAGUGUGGGGAGCAAACAGGAUUAGAUACCCUGGUAGUCCACACCGUAAACG